Molecule: long non-coding RNA, 286 nt
Filed under: Elaeis guineensis (African oil palm)
Lineage: Eukaryota; Viridiplantae; Streptophyta; Magnoliopsida; Arecales; Arecaceae
Description: long non-coding RNA (EGUI_LNC051618)
Source: RNAcentral
GGAUAAAAACUCCCUUUAAAUGGAUGAAUUGCUACCAUGAUUGAUUAUAUCUUGACGAAAGUGGGUAAGCGUUCCUUCAAGAAUAUCCUUUUGAAAGGUAUAGCGCAUAGAACUGACAGUGCACGAACCAAAGGCUCCUCCUCCUCCUACUAUUGGGUGGGUUCUAAUGCCACUUAGGACGGAGGAUCCUUCCAUACAGUAAUUGACUCCGGAGGGAUGGAAGACUCAAGAUGGAAUGAAACCUAUCACCUUUAAAGAGAAAGAUGUUUACCUAUCCUCCCCUACA